Molecule: long non-coding RNA, 355 nt
Organism: Balaenoptera acutorostrata (minke whale)
Lineage: Eukaryota; Metazoa; Chordata; Mammalia; Artiodactyla; Balaenopteridae
Exons: 4
Source: RefSeq, a predicted model, not a curated record
CGACGGUGUCUGCUUUGUCGGAUCCUGCGCAACAAUGGGUUUGCGUGCCGCUGGGAUUCGUGAGUCGCCGGCCUCGCUGGAACCAGGUUCUUGACGUCAUAAAACAGGAAGGUAGCUGAAUCCAGGCCAGAGAUCCGGAAGAUUUUAACUAACACUGGCUCAAGAUUCUUUCCCCAAAAGUUGAAGAAAUGGAAACUGAGAAAGAUUAAGAAGGGUAUCCAGAUCCACAUAGUUGUGCCACACCUCCAACCAUGGUGGCAACUUGGCCCUGGUAGGACCAGAGAAGCAUAUGGCCAGCCCCUGGUUGAUUAUGUGGGCAACACCUCUGAGAUCCUUCCUGGAACAGCAUUCAGAG